RNAcentral lists this ribosomal RNA (696 nucleotides) under uncultured bacterium. RNAcentral describes it as "bacterial SSU rRNA". It matches the Rfam family "Bacterial small subunit ribosomal RNA", at positions 72 to 776 of the family's 1533-position model. The record is from RNAcentral.
AAGAGUUUUCGGACGAUGGAAGUAGAGGAAAGUGGCGGACGGGUGAGUAACGCGUGAGGAACCUGCCUUGAAGAGGGGGACAACAGUUGGAAACGACUGCUAAUACCGCAUGAAGCAUAGGGGUCGCAUGAUUCUUAUGCCAAAGAUUUAUCGCUUCAAGAUGGCCUCGCGUCUGAUUAGCUAGUUGGCGGGGUAACGGCCCACCAAGGCGACGAUCAGUAGCCGGACUGAGAGGUUGAACGGCCACAUUGGGACUGAGAUACGGCCCAGACUCCUACGGGAGGCAGCAGUGGGGAAUAUUGGGCAAUGGGCGCAAGCCUGACCCAGCAACGCCGCGUGAAGGAAGAAGGCUUUCGGGUUGUAAACUUCUUUUAAGAGGGAAGAGCAGAAGACGGUACCUCUAGAAUAAGCCACGGCUAACUACGUGCCAGCAGCCGCGGUAAUACGUAGGUGGCAAGCGUUGUCCGGAUUUACUGGGUGUAAAGGGCGUGCAGCCGGGUCUGCAAGUCAGAUGUGAAAUCCAUGGGCUCAACCCAUGAACUGCAUUUGAAACUGUAGAUCUUGAGUGUCGGAGGGGCAAUCGGAAUUCCUAGUGUAGCGGUGAAAUGCGUAGAUAUUAGGAGGAACACCAGUGGCGAAGGCGGAUUGCUGGACGAUAACUGACGGUGAGGCGCGAAAGUGUGGGGAGCAAACAGG